GCCUUCGUGGUGUAAUGGUAGAACACUCGGAGUGUAUUCGAGAGGUCCAGUUUCGAGUCUCGGCGAAGGCA
Non-coding RNA from Stegodyphus mimosarum, 71 nucleotides. The record is from Rfam. NCBI's taxonomy places the organism in Eukaryota, Metazoa, Arthropoda, Arachnida, Araneae, Eresidae.